RNAcentral lists this ribosomal RNA (223 nucleotides) under uncultured bacterium. RNAcentral's name for it is "partial 16S ribosomal RNA". It matches the Rfam family "Bacterial small subunit ribosomal RNA", at positions 116 to 334 of the family's 1533-position model. The record is from RNAcentral.
CGUAGGUAACCUGCCUCUUAGCGGGGGAUAACUAUUGGAAACGAUAGCUAAUACCGCAUAAAAGUCGGUAUCGCAUGAUGUUGAUUUGAAAGGUGCAAUUGCAUCACUAAGAGAUGGACCUGCGUUGUAUUAGCUAGUUGGUGAGGUAACGGCUCACCAAGGCGACGAUACAUAGCCGACCUGAGAGGGUGAUCGGCCACACUGGGACUGAGACACGGCCCAG